Molecule: ribosomal RNA, 204 nt
Filed under: uncultured ammonia-oxidizing archaeon
Lineage: Archaea
Description: partial 16S ribosomal RNA
Rfam family: Archaeal small subunit ribosomal RNA
Source: RNAcentral
UAAUACCAGCACCUCGAGUGGUCAGGACGUUUAUUGGGCCUAAAGCAUCCGUAGCCGGCUUUGCAAGUCUUCGGUUAAAUCCACCUGCUCAACAGAUGGGCCGCUGGAGAUACUACAGAGCUAGGGAGUGGGAGAGGCAGACGGUAUUCAGUGGGUAGGGGUAAAAUCCUCUGAUCCAUUGAGGACCACCAGUGGCGAAGGCGG